RNAcentral lists this ribosomal RNA (478 nucleotides) under uncultured bacterium. Its description in RNAcentral is "partial 16S ribosomal RNA". It matches the Rfam family "Bacterial small subunit ribosomal RNA", at positions 28 to 523 of the family's 1533-position model. The record is from RNAcentral.
GACGAACGCUGGCGGCGUGCUUAACACAUGCAAGUCGAACGGUAAGGCCCUUCGGGGUACACGAGUGGCGAACGGGUGAGUAACACGUGGGUGAUCUGCCCUGCACUUCGGGAUAAGCCUGGGAAACUGGGUCUAAUACCGAAUAGGACUCCGGCCUGCAUGGUCUGGGGUGGAAAGCUUUCGCGGUGUGGGAUGGGCCCGCGGCCUAUCAGCUUGUUGGUGGGGUGAUGGCCUACCAAGGCGACGACGGGUAGCCGGCCUGAGAGGGUGACCGGCCACACUGGGACUGAGAUACGGCUCAGACUCCUACGGGAGGCAGCAGUGGGGAAUAUUGCACAAUGGGCGCAAGCCUGAUGCAGCGACGCCGCGUGAGGGAUGACGGCCUUCGGGUUGUAAACCUCUUUCAGCAUCGACGAAGCGAAAGUGACGGUAGGUGCAGAAGAAGGACCGGCCAACUACGUGCCAGCAGCCGCCGUAA